AGAGUUUGAUCCUGGCUCAGGACGAACGCUGGCGGCGUGCUUAACACAUGCAAGUCGAACGGAAAGGCCCUUCGGGGUACUCGAGUGGCGAACGGGUGAGUAACACGUGGGUGAUCUGCCCUGCACUUUGGGAUAAGCCUGGGAAACUGGGUCUAAUACCGAAUAUGACCGCAUGCUUCAUGGUGUGUGGUGGAAAGCUUUUGCGGUGUGGGAUGGGCCCGCGGCCUAUCAGCUUGUUGGUGGGGUAAUGGCCUACCAAGGCGACGACGGGUAGCCGGCCUGAGAGGGUGACCGGCCACACUGGGACUGAGAUACGGCCCAGACUCCUACGGGAGGCAGCAGUGGGGAGUAUUGCACAAUGGGCGCAAGCCUGAUGCAGCGACGCCGCGUG
RNAcentral lists this ribosomal RNA (391 nucleotides) under uncultured bacterium. RNAcentral's name for it is "bacterial SSU rRNA". It matches the Rfam family "Bacterial small subunit ribosomal RNA", at positions 8 to 403 of the family's 1533-position model. The record is from RNAcentral.